RNAcentral lists this ribosomal RNA (468 nucleotides) under uncultured bacterium. RNAcentral describes it as "partial 16S ribosomal RNA". It matches the Rfam family "Bacterial small subunit ribosomal RNA", at positions 28 to 507 of the family's 1533-position model. The record is from RNAcentral.
GACGAACGCUGGCGGCGUGCUUAACACAUGCAAGUCGAACGGAAAGGCCCUGAUUUUGUGGCGUGCUCGAGUGGCGAACGGGUGAGUAACACAUGAGUAACCCGCACUUGUCUUUGGGAUAACUUCAGGGAACUGGGGCUAAUACAGGGUAGGAGCUCCUGCUGCAUGGUGGGGGUUGGUAAGAUUCGGCGGUUGGGUCUGGACUAGCGGCUUAUCAGCUUGUUGGGGGGGUAGUUGAUGACAAAGUCUUCGACGGGUAGCCGGCCUGGGAGGGUGAACGGCCACAUUGGGACUGAGAUACGGCCCAGACGCCUACGGGAGGCAGUGGUGGGGAACAUUGCACAAUGGGCGGAAGCCUGAUGCAGCAACGCCGCGUGCGUGAUGACGGCCUUCGGGUUGUAAACCGCUUUCGCCUGUGACGAAGCGAGAGUGACGGUAAUGGGUAAAGAAGCACCGGCUAACUACGUG